This 460-nucleotide long non-coding RNA is filed under the name Mytilus galloprovincialis (Mediterranean mussel). Lineage: Eukaryota; Metazoa; Mollusca; Bivalvia; Mytilida; Mytilidae. The record is from RNAcentral.
UCUGUCUUGGAAUUUGAUUUUUGAUAGAAUUUGUUCUACCAAUUUCCGAUUAUAUCCUCUUACUAACAGUUUUUCAAUAAAGAUAUUUUUUCUGGUUUGAAAUUCACUUUCAUUGUUGGUGUUUCUAAGUAUACGAAUGCCUUUGCCUUUAAUAAAAGAUUUAAAGUUUGAGAUGGGAUGGUUUGAGUUUUUCUAAAGAUAUUGGAAUUUUUCGGUUUUCUUUGUAAAACAUUUCAGGUCUAAAACACCAGUAUUUUUGAAGCGUUCGCCCUUGAAGAUUUCAAGGUCUAGAAAUUUUAUGGACUUUUUAUUGCAUUCAUAAGUGAACUUUAGCAGGUCAUGUUGUUUUUUUGCAUUUUCAAACAUAAAGUCAAUUUCAGACUCUUUUGCUUUCACCAUUAGAAGUCCAUCAUCUCUCAUUCUUUUAUGAACAAUAUUUUUUUCGGAGAUUGGAGAGUUU